UGUGGCCCUGGUUUCUAUGGAGACCAAGAAUUGGGAGAGUGUGAGCCCUGCCAUGGAGCUUGUGAGACCUGCACUGGCCUGGGCUAUGACCAAUGCAACAGCUGUCAAGAAGGGUUACAGCUGCAGCACGGAACAUGCAUCUUGUCCACCCAGCCUCAGAGGGAAGAUAAGUUCUGGAACGAUGUGUUGAGACAUCAGCCUUGUCAUCCUUCUUGUAAAACCUGCAGUGGAUCUGAAACUCUCUGCACUUCAUGUCCAAAAGGGGCAUACCUGUUGCUGCAGGCAUGUGUUUCCUCCUGUCCACAAGGCACAUGGCCCUCAGUCAGGAGUGGCAGCUGUGAAAACUGUUCCGAGGACUGUGCCUCUUGUUCUGGAGCCAAUCUUUGCCAAAGGUGCCUGAAUCAGCCGGAUCGCCCUCUGUUCCUGCAUGAAGGCAGGUGCUUCCACGGGUGC
Long non-coding RNA from Nannospalax galili (Upper Galilee mountains blind mole rat), 453 nucleotides. RefSeq lists it as uncharacterized. The transcript is spliced from 3 exons. The record is from RefSeq and is a predicted model, not a curated record. Lineage: Eukaryota; Metazoa; Chordata; Mammalia; Rodentia; Spalacidae.